UGGCAGCUGCCUACGUGAUGCGAGCAACCUGGGCGAUCCAGCGCUUUGCCAAUCACAGCCUCGUGCAGCAAGUGCACAGCUGAACAAUGGGGAAAUUCCAUUUCCCACACAGCGAGGAGGACGGAGUGGUACCCAGCAAGCAGCCCUGCACCUCUCCUCCAAACAGCACAGCCUGUCUGAACCCAGCUCCCAUUCCACCGACACUCCUUCUGGAGCCCAGCUCCAUCCCAGCCUCCUCUGGAGCCACCGGAACGGAGUGGAGCUCUCAGGGCACCCAGGGGGCAGCUGCUAUGUGGAAACAGUGCAACUCAGUGCGUGGAGAAGGUGUGAGCUGCGGGUGGGUGAGUACACAGCUGACGCUCAGGACACCACAAAGCGCUCAGCCUUCCUCGGCGCAUCCCUUCAGUUUAAAGCCAUCCUCCCUCGCCCUAUCACUAUCAGACCAUGUGAAGUUCACCCCUCCUGUUGCAGAGGAGGAGGAUGGCUACAAGCACAGGUGCUGACGGUGGGAAGGGCAGCCCGGAGCCGCCUCGAGCACGAGUGAAGGCAUUGCACAACUGACAGCAGCUCCGGACUCUGGCAGAGCCACAUCUCCAGCUCCGCCAUCUGCUUGCAUCCAAGGCUCCAUUUCAGCCUAUUAGGGAGAUUGGGGCUGGCUGCAAACAUCAGAUGUAGGCAUAGGUUUGGCACGCGUCCAUCCCUCUCCUGCUGUCUCAAAACGCCAAGAUUUUGAUUCAAGCUCAUCUGCAAACACUAAGAAAGCGACAGUUUUGCAACACCAACCCUGGCGGAGCUCAUUGCAAAAAGAGACCUUCGGGGAGAAAAAGACAAAAUACCGAAAAACCAACAAGCCAAGAACUCCUUUUCAUUACAUUAUCUCAACAAACUAAAGCUAUAGACAAAUACGACGACACCCACCAAAAUCUGCUCAGGCAUCCAAACACAGGCGGCUGAGCAAGGCAAGGCGCUCCGGAUCCCAAACCUGCAGCCAUGCCCACGGGUGGGAGAAAAGCACCUCCCAUCCGUGCCAUAGAGCUGCCCGGUCACACAUUGCUUAUUUACACGGAGAGCUCUCUGGCACACCGCAUGAAGGAAAUGUGCAAUGAGGGCUUGGAGCCCUUUGCCAUCCCACAACAAUGGGAUGGCUGCGCCAGCACUGCGAGCACACAGCCUCAGCCCCGAUGAAUUUCGGUGGGGAGGGCUUUGUGUUUUGUUUUGCUCUUCGAAAGAUAGCCCUGUAAUUUAGUGACUCAUGCGUUCUACAUCUUUUGUUGCUUUUCGUUUUCAACAUCUUUAAGCUGUUUGCGGAGAAGGAGCUUAUUUUUAGACUUCCCAUCAGCGAGGGAUGGUUUGGGGGGGAAAAGCUCCAUUGAGAUUUUUGUAUCUGGGGUGCUAACAGGCAAAUUUCCUGAUGGGAAGAUAGUUUUUUAUUUUUUUUUCUUUCCUCUUCUUUCCUUUAUUUCACACUCGGGAAUGGGCAGUGAUUUCGGGGCACACUGAGGUCUGAGCUGGUUCAGGGAGGAGGAAGAGGUCACGAGUGAAAGCAGAUGUGUGGGGCUCAAACAGUUAAUGUGGGCUCUGGGAACUCUCAUCCUCCCCCUCCCUCUUCAUCAAACCCAAACAUCUCCUGCCAUGCCCUCUGUAAACUGAAGGGGAGAACAUCCCACAGCCCAGCACUACCCCGCAUUGCUCAGCACUGGGAACACAACCCAUGGACUCUUUGCUUUGCGCUAUGGAGAUAUUUGGGUCUCACCACCCUGGAGCAGGCAGUGGGGUGGAUGAGCCCCCAUCCCUGCGGUGCCCACAGGUGUCACCUCCCCACCCAGGAACCGCAGCGGCUCUUUGGAGCAUUUUCCAGGGCACAUUGGUAAUAUCGCUGAAAGCCGCAGCCCUAAUGGAUGGCUGGAAGCGUUCCAGCCACUCCGGCUGUCACCUCGCCCCAUGUCACACCCAGGUUCUGUUCCACAGUCUCUAAGCAGCAUAAGGCAGCACAGCAGGUCUAUGUCCCGGCUACAGACCUAUGUCACCGCCCAGCUUAUCAAUUUGGGGACACAAAACCCAAACCGGCACAGCCAAGUACCCAUGCUGAGCUCUCUGCUCUGCCCACCUCCAGCUCCAGCUUCAUGUCAGGGCUCAGCAUCCUCUGGAGGAGCUGCCACCACCUCCCCAUUGCACAUUUCCAUACGACACACCGUGCAUGCAAGAUCAGCCUUCACCACGUCAUGAAGCCUUGCAAAACAGAACAAUGUCGCUUUGCUCCAACUCCAACGACCCAAAGUCCCUUGGUUGGGAAGAGCAUCUCCAAGAGGAGCCGUCUCAUGGACUGUGCUCACUCACAGCAGGAGCAGGGCACAAGGAUAAAUGCAUGCAAGCUGCAGAGUGGACAGUGUCAAUAGGAUUUAUUUGUUCUAUUAUUUAUCAUGCCAUAUGCCCCAGCUCUCCAUCCACAGAUCUGAGCCAUCAGCUGUGAACACCUGUCAGGGAGUUAAGUCAUCUUCCAGUUUCUGGGUAGAAUAACUGGAGAUGAUAAGGCUGAUUGAAUCAGCAAGUACUCAACACUGGAAGCGCAAUGGCUUGAAAAAAAAUUCUGAUUUUGUCAAUUAAAAGCUUUCAGCAUUGAAUCAGAACAAAAAAAGAAGAAAUACAAACCACCCCCCGAAACCAGCCCUCCUUAGUGGCUGUACUGCGGUACAGGAGGAAGGCAGGUAUAGGUGAACAGAUGGGGGAAAGUAGAUAACAGGACACCGAGUCCUCCUGCUUGUCCACUGGAGACAGAAUUUCCAUCUAGAAACCCAAUACAAAAUGUAAUUCUUUCCUAACAACUGCGUCUACUGCGUAUUGUUUCUCUGAGAAAAAAAAAAAUUAUAAGUGACUUUGAAGUCCUCCAAUGCCAUCAAGAACAUUUUUUCCCAAAGUAUCUCAAAAGCAGCAAAAAUAAGAAAAAAAAUUAAUGACUGCUAACAGCCGAAACAGAUGGUCUGCUGCGAAUCCCCACAGCCUCCCGCAGCCGUGAGUCAAGCCAUUUUUCAACGUGGUGAAGAAGGAAAUAACAAUAAUACAGAAAAAUCCAAUUUCCAAGAUGACCACGCUUCCAAAAACCCACUGGUCUUCCCAGCCGAGAGGCGGCCAAUGCAGAGGUUUGGCCGGAUCGGACCUUCCAUGGGCUCAACCCAGAGUCAAGUGCACACCGAGGGUUUGGACACGGUUGCUUCCGCCACAAGAUGCAGGAUGAGAUUUUACUCCAAGAUUUCAGCUCAGGACCCUUUACGCUGUCAGAUCACACGCACCCAGCGCUCAACCCCGGGAGCUGCAUCCCUCCCGCCCCAUCCUCCCAGCCACCAUCUCAAGGAUCCGAGACAAGAAAGCCACUUGCCAGGAGGGAAGCUCCGGUUGCCGGCUCCUCUGCUGCGGCUCCUCCUCGUCCCCCUGGUCGCUGUCAUGCUGGGGCUGCCCCUCUCCGCGCUCUUCGAUCAGCCCCAUCAGGCAGACGUGGCCGCAGGUCCUGCGGAGCGCACGAGCUCAUCAUGGGCGCAGCGCAGCCGGCAGCGCGACUCUGUAAGGAGUUGACAGAAACUUACUGCACGCACUGUACCAGUUUAUCAUUUAUUUAAGCUGGAUCUUUCAAUAAUUCAUGCCAGCCUUUCGCUGUGGAGUGGGACAACAAUGGCAGGAGCGCAGCGAUGCAGGCAGGGAAUAACCACAUCUGGAACAGAUGUUCAGUUCUAAAUAAAAGCUGGUUUUGCAGAGAAUGUUCAAUGCCAUGGGAAUAGCAGGCUCUGGGACACAGCCCUGCUCCUUCCAGGGGGCAGCAGCGAUUUUCUCAGAUGUCUUGCAACGUGCAGUGAGAAUGGAGCAGAUGCAAAACCCAGGGCUGGUUCUAGCUGCACCAAAACCUGCACCGUGCCGCUCAGCUUCUCCUGCCCGUUGCACGCACUGUGAUCUGCAGCACGGCCAUGUGAAAGGCUUCUGCAAAGUAUGCUCCCUACCGCUGUGGCCAUAACUUGGCUCCCUCCCUUCUGCACCCGGGGGUGCACCACCAGAACCCCCCAAACCCGCAGCUUGGCUGGGCACCAGCUCCCCAUUGGACAUCACCCCACACCUUCAACAACCCUGCACGAGGCUAGGGACACCUCUGAACAAAGUGCUUUAUUCCUUCUGCUGUGUUGGCCCUAUUGCUCUGGGGGGUGCCCCAAACUGCUCCACGUGCCCCUCGUCAUCCUUCCCCAGAUCACAUCCCUGACAGCCCCGCGCCCACCACUGCACUGAGCAUCCCCUCUCUAUGCCAGCCCCUGCCACCGGCCCCACUUGCCUCAUCACACAGCUUUUAAGUGCUUUGAAGCAAGAACUGACUUGCCAUUUCGUCUCGCACACUCGAGGCAUGACCUGAGAUCAGACCUCAACUGUGUGUUAUUACUGUACCACUACAGCACUGUUAUUACCAACUCGGAUGUUUGCUUGGGCUCUGGUUUCAGUCCUUACAUUUUUUGGACUACCUCAUGUAUCUCUAUACUUUGCAACACCCCUGUGAUAGCUGGGCUCUUCUCUGUGCAGGCUUACAGUUAGUUUUCAACGCAUCUUGCUGUGAUUCUUAAACACAAACCUUGCCCCAUUGGCUGACCACUUAAGACCAGAAAGAAAGUUUUUGUCCUAGAUAAUGGCUGAUCUUGCAGAUUGGUCGGAUAACGAAAUAAGGAACACACUAAAGGCCAUUAUCAGUAACGAGCAGUGAAUAACAGAGUGCAAAGCUAUCAAGUGCUCCGAAGGACAAGCUACAGGGAUCGCUGGGGAAAUAGUGAAACCAUUCAGAACUAGGUCUCCUGCUCUCUGCAUCUUCCUUCUUCCUUCCUUAAAGCGCACUUGCAGUUGUCAUGACAGUGGGUGGAUGACAGGGAACGCUACGGUGGAUCUCAGAAAUAAAUGUCUGAGCAGCGUCACCUCUCACAGAGAGCAGCCCUUGGGUUGUAGGCAGGAGCGCAGCCACCGCUCUGGCUGAUUUAGUGGCCUCGCUGUGUAUCUACACCUACAUAAAUGUGGUCCCCUUGGGGCCAAUGUCUUCAAUCCACAUUUAUAAAUUUCCCUCCCAAGGGACCGCUCAGCGCUGUUACACAGAGCUGGUGACAGCUUCACUCUGUCCUAAUGGAAGGCACCAGGAGGCACAAAGCAGGGAUCCUAGGGAAGGAGCCACCAGCCCCCUGCUCGUGCAUGCAUAAAGGAUAUCACACACACACAAAAACAGAAAAAAGGAAACAGUGAUUUCACCCUUUCUUGCUCAUUUUCAGUUAGAAAUGAGUAAAUAAUGCCAGUCAUAAAAUGCGGCAAGGAACAGAAAAAUGUUAUCCAAAAAAAGGAAACUGUUUUAAGCUGCUUUAACUUUUAAAACUGAUGGUGAUUCUCAACAUUAAUCAAAUACUGAAAAAUCCACAGGAAAAAUAAAAGGAAACUGUACUGAUGAGGUGGAUCAUGUGUACAAACACAGAGGUGGGCACAACCCUCCAGGAUGUGGAAGUUUUCCUGAGCAUUUCACAGCCAUUUCCAGUAAAGCUGGGCUGCAUCAGCAAGGGCCAACGGUGAGGCUGGAACACCAGUGCCACAUUGGGUCCUCCAGAAUUAAGGAAAUGCCAUUUCACUAGAGCAAGCCCCCUGGUAAAUCAGUAGGAUGGAACUGGAGCAUGUCAAGGGUCAGUGUAAAUAACUAGGAGCAACAGGAACAAACGGCAACAUGAAAUUUCCAACCAAAAGGACAUAGGAAAAUAGUUUGCUCAGCACGUGGUGCAGCCUUGGGAUGGGAGUUGGACAGGCAAUGGAAUCUCCAUCCUUCAGGAUAAAGUCCUCUGCAACUUUGGGCAGGUGCUGGACUAGAGAUGCUAAGGGCCCCUCCUAGGGGAAAGCUUUCAUAAAAUUUUACGACUUUUUAACCAUCACAAAGAGGGGCAAAAGAAAGAAAAAUAGAAGAGACAAAAACCUUUUUAAUCCCUUGCAUAGAACACAUCCUCUUUCUUUGCCUUAAGCUCAUCUCCCAGUGCCCAGGAGAGGGCACAGCAUGGAAAUGUCUCCACUUUGUUGAAGUCACAUCACUGAAGUGGUUAAGCAGGAAAGCGCCUGCAGCCCAGCCCUGCUGGCUGGCCAAGCACUGCGGUGCUCCUGGCUCCAACUUCACUCUCCUCUUUUGCUUUUCACUCUCUCGUGCCAAGCGUAAGGAUCUGGCCUGCUCCGCAGCCCACCUUGCCAACAUGAUUGUGGUGACUCACUCAACAGCUCUUCAUCACAGCACAGUCUUUCAAUGGGACUUCAUUUUGGAUGGCACCAUCUUCAAAAUCUGAUGGCGGAGAAAGGCAAGGAAGGCAUUAAUACGUAUGCAUGGUGAAGAGACAGAGGGACAGCAGGGUUGGGUCACAACUGUGGGGUGAUCCUCGCUUCAAUUUUUUUUUUUCCCCCACCUCCAUUGGUAGAUAUCCAAAUUCAGAAAUAAGAAAGGAAGCCCAGCUCAAAGGAAAAAGAAAGGUCCUCAUAUCACUCCUUCCAUCAGGCUGACACCUCUUCAUCUUGGGAAAUUUAACAUCUGUUACAUAAUUCAGAGAACAUGUGGUUAUUUUCCAGGCUUAUUAAUAGCUCAGAUCCCAAGACUGAAAAUGAGAAUCAGCAGCUGCUCCAGACUUCACCUCUUGGCAAAGGAGGUGAGAGCAGGUACAAGGGCUGGCUGUGGGUCAGGGCUUUCCUUCACUCUGAGGCUCCUCAUUACAAGCCAUGAAGGACAGAGUUUGGAUGGCAGCUCUGCUGCUGAGACAUCUGGAUCUCCAGACUUUCCUCGCUACUUUUUCUUCACAUCUCAUUUUUCUCUCCACUAAAGGCACAUUCCAUGAGAGAAGGCAGAGAAGAAGUUCACAGGUAUGAGAACGGACUGUAAGAGUGAAUAGGGAAGGAAGAUGCUGUUUCACUGUCCCUCACAUACAUAAAGCAUGUUUAUUCAUCAGGAGUUCAGUAGCGUUCAAGAAGACCACCAGGGUUUACAAAGACUUGGAUGUAAGGACUUUUUUCUUAAUGCAUUAUGUUGCCUUUUAACUUGGAAAGCAGGUUGAAGAAAUGCACUUGACACUGGGAGCAAUUAGAAGGUCGGUCGUAGCUUGAGUUCUCUGUUUCUGGUGAAGUUGAAGGUAUGCUAGCAUGUGUAUCUCUCUCUGCUCAGAAAAAUAAAAUGGUUUAAAUGCUCCCUAGUGCUAUUUCCAGGCAGGAUUCAGGCAGAGCAAUAUCCUUGGCAAAGGCAAGGCCGUGGCUGUAACAAACGUAUGCGUCUGUUGUUGAAAUGCACAACCUGCAGCUCACAUGCCUCAUCACACAGUGAGAAAAAGCACCCCCAGACCUUGACAUCUCCAGCCCAUUAAAGUGUCAAUGACAGCUCAGGGUGAUGCAAAUGACCUUCUCGUUAAGUGGCAGAACCUAAAGUCCAGCUCGCCACAGUCCCAAAUUCGUGGGACUUCAAGCCAACAAAGAAAAAGCAAACCUGAUGAAAGAUCGUGACUAAUGAAAAGCCACUUCAUUUUCUGGCACUUGGUAGAGGCCAAGAACAUUUGACGAGAACAGCCAAGUCCAGCAGACACCAACGCUUGCCAUGGGAGGAGGUUGAGGCUGUGGAUGCCCCCACCCUGGAAGCACUCAAGGCCAGGCUGGACGGGGCUGUGAGCAACCUGGUCUGGUGGGAGGUGUCCCUGCCUACAGCAAUGGAGUCAGAACUAGAUGAUCUUAAAGGUCCCUUCCAACCCAAACCAUUCUAUGAUUCUUUGUUCCUAUGAGGUGGCUGUGCUGUUCAGCUCCAAGCCCUGCAAUUUCAGAUAUUCCCUUGAGAGAAGGUGACCCAUACCUAAGAGCUCCACUGGCUUGGUUCAGAGCAACAAAGUUCAUGGCCUAACAUCAGGCCAUCAGAAAGCAGGGGCUCAUCUUUUCCUAGCUCAAAUGAUAAGAAGUGCUUAAAUACUCAGUAGGACAGGGAGUAAAGCUCACAGAUCUCGUCCCACCAGAAGAAAAAUAAACAAAACACACAAGAGAUGGCUAUUUCUUCAUGUCUAAUUAAUAUUCAGAUGUUUAUACCGUGCAAAGCAGCAGCAGAACUGAAGGGAAACCCACCCAAAGACAUGACACAAGAUUGGAGGCAACUCCACUAGGAAGCAGAAAUCCUCGGCGCAAGAGCUUCUUUCAGAUGGUGUAGAGAUGCCUCCAGGCAGCACUGCCCACCUUCUGACUCACCACUGGAUCAGCAGAACUGGCAUGUAUCCCUCACCCUAGGGAAUGCAUGUCACAGCCUUUAUGCGGUCGGGAGCCACAAGGCAUCUAACAUCCCCUGGGAGAUGUGGGGUCACAGACUAGGCUCAUUCUGCAGCCUGCAGCUGGGUUUGCAGCUGAUUCAGCCAUCUCCAGCAGAACUUGCUGGCUUCUUCAUGCCCAUCCCAGAGCUGUGCAUUACUGAGCUCCUCAGUUCACACCCUAGAGAAAUUCCCAUGCAGACUUUAAUGACCUAGUGCAAAAAUAAUAAUAAUAAUAAUUCAAGUGAACCAUUUCUCCUAGUCUGAAUUCGCUGAAUUCAAGAACAGCAUCAGAGGAUCCAAAACUACAUUUUCAGACCAAAACAAAAGGUACCAUUUUGGUAAAGAGCUACCAGCUUUAUCUUAACCUGUAACUCUUCCCUCUCCAGCCAGCUGGAAGCUCACUCACUCUUACUUUCAUGGGCAGCACGUUGUAUUUCUCCCCUUCCACCAGGCCAUGUUGAUCUCAACACAUGGAUCUAAAACAGACCCUCCUUUUUCCUUUCUCUGCACCUGGGCUGGUCCUGAAUGCUUUCCUGGGAGAACACUGCACAAGGGAAACUCCCUGUGGAGUUUCAGGGCUGGAAGAAAUCACUGUCUGCAUGGGAAGAGCAACAGCCACAGGACAAUUACACUGCAGCAGAAGUCUGCAGGGAGGGGAGAGGCUGCUCUUGCUAUGGUCUGCCUGACAUCAGCCUGACAUCACCAUCUGGCAGUAGUUUCCAGAGCAAUGCAUCUUGAAAUACACUGGGUGCAAAAUGUUGCCCAGGGAAAUCAGCCUAGCAAAGCUUUUCAAAAAUAUUCUCUACAAUCCAGAGAUGGUGGGUUUUCUCACAUAGGACCUUCCAUCCCAACCGUUCCUUUCUGCCUGUAGUGAUUGGAAAGAUCAACACAAUGAAAAAGGUGUUACAAAGAGGUGGAAGGACCAGCAUGAUGGCAAGGUGCUAUAAAGGAAGGGAAGUAGAUCACCCACCUGCAUCAGAAGACUCUGGGUUCACAGGGAAAAGCUUCCACCAAGGAGGGAUCUCCAGAAAGAGAUCCUUCCUCAGUGGCAGUCAGCCCUUCAAUGAGGCCCAAGAGGAGCCAGGCUCCAGCCCUUCUGGUCACACAGUGAAUUGCCUUCACCUGUGCUCCCAGGGCUGGCUGGGUCUUUCCACCAGGUGCUCCAUCAGUGGUUCAGGCCAUGACUCAGCAGCUCCCAUACACUGCCUUUGUACGCUGAGCUGCAGGGCAGCAGUUGUAGAGUCAGUUGGAUGCAUCUCAGCUUAUGAGUGUAAAUAUGGAGCUGCAGGGUAGUAGGGAAGGAUAUAAUGAAAACUUCAAAGCUCUUGAAAAUUUAGGAAACAUCUAAUUAUAACUGUUAGCCAACAAUGAAUUUGUGAAAUAUUCACAGCCUUUAGAAAAAGCAACUGGCGAUGUCAGAAAAAUUGUAAGUCGAGGAUUUGGAGUAAAUGACCUCCUGUUCUUAUUGUGCAUUUGCCAUGUACUGAAAGAAAAACAGGAAAGAGCCUUGCCAAGGUGUGGGGAGCAAAAAAGGGAAGGAAAAAAAAACCAACAAAAAUGAAAAGGAUUUUGUUGGCAGAAUUAAGACUUACAAAUUAUUGCUGCUCCCUUUCUCCCGACUUCUGUAAUGUAAUUGCUGUGUGCUAAGACUAAUUCACCAGAGAUGCUUCUGCUGUGAAGAUGGAAGCAGCAGCUCAUCGCUCUGCACAGAGCAGGUGGCUCCUCGGCGAUCCAGCCAGGACUGCAGGCAGCAGCAUGGGAGCCAAAAAGAAACAGGGUUUAGGUCAAGAUAUGGCAGGGCUAGAUCUAAGCAGAGCUUCAUUAGAUAUUUAUUGGGAUGGCUAGGCUGGAAGGCCAGAGAUAUAAAUAUAGAACAGCAAAUAGUUAUUCUGAACUCAGAGCUUCGGUCACUAUCAACCAAUUGCACAAAUCAAGACCUUGGCAUAUAGGAGAUGUUCAGGCUUAAUUGGAUAGCACUCAGUAGUUAUUCUAGCACACAAAUACACUCAUCAAUCUAGGUAAUGAUGCUGCUCCAACCACGUUUUCAUAUAUUACUCCUGAUAUCCAUAACUUCCAGCUAUGGCCACAAAACCACACUCAACCCUAAGCCACACCACUACUAUUUAUAUAGGAAUCAGCUUAGCAGGAGAUGCUUGGUGAUGAAAUGUCUGGUCAAGAAUGGGUCUGUCGUGGAGUGGUAGAGAUGGGUCUGCUCCGUGAUGAGGAAAAAAAGAAUCUCAGAACUGUAGGGACUGGAAGGGACCUCUGGAGAUCCCCCGUCCAAGCCCCCCACAGCAGCUCCCUGCAGCAGGUGGCACAGGAAAGCAUCCAGGAGAAUCUUAAAUACCUCCAGAGAAGGAGAACCCCACACCUCUCUGGGCAGCCUGUUCCAGGGCAAUGGCAGCGUCACAGCAAAGAAGCUCUUCCUCAUGUUCAUACGGAACUUCCUGUGUUCCAAUUUGUGCCCGUUGCCCCUUCUUCUGUUUGCUGGGUGCUACUGAAGAGGGGCUGGCCCCAUCCUCUUGACAUCCACUCCUUAGACAUAUAUAAGUGUUGAUAAGCAGAAGAACCAGAAGCUAAGGGUGACCUUAACACCAGCAGUGCCCUCAUCAGCUAGUGAAUGUGAUGAGCAGUGUUGAGUGAUAAUGACAGGAUCAAGGAACAGAAGUAGAAAACAAGAGAAAUUAGGUCCAAGGUCCACCCAAGGAGCUUCAUCAGGAACAGAUAGGCCUGGAAACAGCUGCAGCAUGGGUCUAGAGAAGAAAACUGCCUGUAACACAGGUCUAAGAGUCUUCCAGUAGGCAGAAACCAGCUGGAUAGAGGCAGACCUGCAGCACACCUCACCCAGGGCCCAAAGACAUGGCACUGAGCUUAAAUGGGCUGCAGGGCCUUGCUAUGGGUGGGAUCCAGGUGAGCUGUCCUCUGGGCUCUGGUAAUGAUAAAGCUUCAGCCCCACAUUCCAAAGCACAGUGGAACUGUGGUUUGCAUGUUGAAUAUGAAAAAUCUUUUUCUGCUAUCUUGACUAAUGCUCCUCUGGAGGUUGUUCUGUGCCAUAAUGAAGAGUAAACUGGUGAAUGCUACAGUACAGCACCACUGGCGUUCCUGUGGACAUCAGCUGUAAAGCAGAGAGGAUGGCUCUGUUCUUCCAGAGCCGUACACAAAACUUUAUCCUGGCUCAGGAAAGUGAACAUAAGGAUUUAUAGAAACAUCAAUAUGUUUGAUUAAUCUCAACACGUGUUCAUGUGCCAUUGAUUUAAGCUACUUUAUUUGAGGUCGUAGGUUUUUCUGAAUCAGGACUUUAAUAGCAACUCUAGCUAAGUUCUGCAAAACAAGUUUUUCAAUGUUUAUGCUGUUUUGCAACAGUACUUUAAGAUUUUACUUAUUAAAAUGUGCUUAAUUUCCCCAACUUGUUUGUUAGUACAUUCUCCAAAAAGCAUGGGAUACCUUGUAGUCAAAUGUUCUCGUAAGCAUUCUAGCUUCUUAGUAAGCUAAACGUGUUCUGUUUUUCCAUAUUCUGAAGUUAUAUGUCAUUCUGUAUCACUGUGAAAAUUUUUUUCAUUUGAUUAUACGUAUUAUUAACAGCACUUAUAUGUUCUCCCUCCCUAUUCCCUGUUCUACUUAUUUACUUUGAAAUAGAAACCAGUCAUCUCUCACAUUUCACUGUAAUUUUUACCUUUUUUUUGUUUCCUGCAAGUCGUUAACAAAACAUAUUUAUGUCUGACCCUGACAGCCAUAUUCAUUUUCCUUCAAACAUUUCAGUUACACCUUAAUUUAGGCACACUCAAAUAGUUCUGCCACCUCUAAUGUGACCAUUGCCACAGCAGUGUAACAGUGUUUUCAAAAUGAAAGGUUUUUUUUAAUUGUCUGUAGAGAUGUUGAUAUGACUUCAUUCAAUAUGGGAGGUUCAAAUUAUUUAGUGGUAGAGGUGUGGCAUAGAAACAAAGGAAAAUAGUAGGGGUUGCCUUGGAUCAAAGCGUUACACGCAAUGUGUGCAAGCGGCUGAGCUCCAGUUCUACCUCAUGGCCCCUUCUUCUGGGAGUAUAACAGGCACAAUAACAAUUCCUUUUAUUGCUGAUUGAUCAGUAACAUCCACAGUGGGCAGGAAUGUAGAGCACAGUGUAGAGCUGUUGCAUUCGAUAUUUUUGCAAGUGUCAGAAUUCAAAGAAUGGGGACACCCACUUGGUCCCUCGGAUUCUGUUGGAAAGAAGCUGGCUGGUGGGGCUCUGGAAAGCCAGGAUGUGUUGUGAAGGCUCCUUCUAGUGUACCUCAGUUGAGGCCCAACAUUUGAGCAUCACAAAUAGCUGACUACAAUCACUGAGAAGCAGAAAAGCAGCUUUUAGUUUGGUUCUGAUAUACCAAGGUCUACCUCAAGAUGACCUUAAAAACGAUGAAGUACAUAAAAAAUGAAGAAGCUGCUUGAGAAGAAAUUAAAAGGAGCAGUUGGAAGGGAACCAUUUCAGAACUCCUUAUUACAAGCCUGGAAUAAACAUACACUGCCAAGCAAAGGAGAGCUGAAAGGAAAAAUGUUUGUGCAGCUACACAGCAGAGCAGAAUUGUUAAAAGGCAUUACUCUAAAAGCCCAAGUCAUGUUCAAGAGAGGAAAUAGAAUCCUGAACGUGACAAAUUGCAUGGAGAAGAACGAUAUGGCAGGCCAGAAAGGGUUUUGAUCAGCAGCUUGAGACUUAAAGGUAACAAUAAAACCUCUUCAGGAACAUUAGGGGAAGGAGGUUUGCCAGAGUGGUGGUGUGGCUGAUAGACGAUCACCACAUAACAUGUAUGCUCAGGAGAAAGAUGGGUCAUAGCAGAAAGGUUAAGUGAAUUGUUUGCAUUGCUUUUCAUUAUGAGGGAGGUGGGAAAAGAAGGCAAGAAACAGAGAUAAAUAAUCUGUUUUCAUAAUGGUAGAAGCAUCCAAUGGCAAUCCCAGAGAGACCUGUCUGAUAGAUCUACUCAUUUACUAAUAAAUGAUCUGGGGAGUGGGAGAGCGUGAGCACAAUAAAAUAUAUUAGCGAUACAAAAUUAAUUGGGAUAAUCAAAACCAGAACUGGUUGUAGCAGUUACAAAAAAAUCUCACAGAACUCAGUGUCUGAGAAAUAAAAUAACAGCUGAAUUUCAGUGCCAAACAGUGCAAAAUAAUGCACAUGGAAAAAAAUAACACGUAGUCUCCCUACAAAAUGGUAAACUAUCAACUAGUCAUUACCAUUCAAGAAGGAGUUAUGGGAAGUAAUAUGGAUGGUUCCUUGAAAACAUCAACUCAAAGCUCAGCAUAACCAUGGGUAAAUAUAAUGUGAGUGAUUGCUGGGAAAGAAAUAGAGGACAAAAUUGAAACUUCGCUGUUAUCUGAAUCAUUGUGCACCUACAUGAUGAAUACAUUUCUGCUCAGAGCAUCCUAGAAAGGAAAUAGCAGAGCAAGAAAGGGUGAGAGGAAGGAAGUGAAGCUGAACAAAGACAGAGAACAACUUCUAUACAAAAAUAGACUAACACAGUAGGACCCUUCAAUCUGGCAAAGAGGUGGUUGAAAGGGAUGUAGGAGACUCUUACCAAAUCAGAAUUUUAUUAUGUCCUCAACAACAUGGGGAAGGUCAACAGAGAACGAAUACACUCUCUUUUUCACAGCAGCAGACCUAGGAGGUAUCCAAUGAAACUAUCAAGAGCAGAUUUUAGAGAAUUCUAAGGAAGUAUUUUUGCAAGGAGUGUACAAUUAAGAUGUCAAAUUUUUGCCGGAAGCCUUGAUGGUGCUCAAAGGCAGAAAUAGGUUCAAGGAGGAAUUAAAUAAUUCACUGAAAAUGAGACAGGCAUAGCCCCCAGCUCAGGAAGUGUCUGUGAGUGAUCAACAGAAGCUGGAAAGUUGUAAGAGAAGGCAUAUGCUGCACUUGCUCUCUUCCAGGAUAAUAGGUGAAAUGGGAAUUUGUUCUCACCGUAUUAUACUAUGUUGAAGCAUGGAACUCCCACCCCACUGCCCAGGGACUAUGUCUGGGUUUUUUUCUGCUGACAUUGAGGGAAUUGUUUCCUCCUGUAGCUGAUGGACACUGAGAGCUAAAGUUGUUCUCCAUCAGACUGCAGAAAUGUUACGUGGAUCACAUUUUUGACAUGAAGUGCUCAACUAAUAGUCAAGAAAAAGCCUAGUGAGUCAUCGAAUGUGACCCUAUGCUUUGCUCAGAGCAGGUUCUUUUCAUAAUUCACACUAUUAAGCUCAGCUAAUCUGUCAUUUAAUAUCCUCUGUGGUGGAUCUAACUUAAGCACAUUAUCACAGAAAAAAAUAUAUAUCUUAUUCUCAGGGACUUCCAAGGACUUGUCUUCAACAAACUACACUGCAAGGAUGGGUGUUCUGCCUUGUCACAUACUUUGGUAGCAUUGUUCUCACCAGUCCAUAUUCCCAGUAUCACCAGGUGCCCCUGGCAGGCACAAAUAGCAGGGGAUUUGGGGGACUAGGAGAACAUCUGCUCCCAGGCACUACGAUGCCUCCUUGUUCAUGGAUAUACGCUGACACCACGGUGCUCUGCUUGGGACUUUCUCAUCAGGACACAUAUGGUUACCAAGGCUCAUCCAGAGCAGUGGUUUCUGGCAAGUUGCAUCUGGCCCUGCCUCACCUCCAAGUGGUUUGGGAGGUGCACCUCAGGCCCAGCACGGCAUCUGAUGGGUUUUUAACAUCAGACAUGGGGCAAGAGCAGGGUGAGUGCUGCGGGGGGUUAGCAGGGCCUUUCAAGGCUGCCUGAUGCCUCCGGCUGCUCCCAGCCUGGCCAGAGCCAUAAUUGUUUCCUCAAGCAUCAAAAGAGACCUGAGCUGCAUUCCCUGUCAUCUUUUGUGCCAUAGAUGAUAUAAGCUUGUAUCACUUCAUCAUGAAACCCCUGUCUGAAGUCACACAGUUCAACUAGGUCGUAAAGAGCAGUGACAGUAUUUUCCACAGAUCUGUCUUAUUCUUGUACCCCAGAGAAAGCUGCGUCUCUCAUAAACAACAUUUCAUGAGCAAAUAAAAUAUUUAUCAAACUUC
This is a long non-coding RNA of Numida meleagris (helmeted guineafowl), 15285 nucleotides long. RefSeq lists it as uncharacterized. NCBI's taxonomy places the organism in Eukaryota, Metazoa, Chordata, Aves, Galliformes, Numididae. The record is from RefSeq and is a predicted model, not a curated record. The transcript is spliced from 2 exons.